GCAAACUUGGUCAUUUAGAGGAAGUAAAAGUCGUAACAAGGUUUCCGUAGGUGAACCUGCGGAAGGAUCAUUCACAAUAAGAGUGUUCUAUGGCACUCUUCUAAAAAAAAAAUCCAUACCCCACCUUGUGUGCAAUGUAAAAAGGAAAGUGCGAGUUGUUGACUUGAAAAGAUUGUCUUUUUCAAGACCCGCGACUUGUGUCCUUUCUUUUUCCAACUCAUAUACACCUUUCUAUAUCCUAUUGUCUGAUAAUGUUACAGAAUGACUAAUUCUUAAACAUAACUUUCAACAACGGAUCUCUUGGCUCUCGCAUCGAUGAAGAACGCAGC
Molecule: unclassified non-coding RNA, 329 nt
Filed under: uncultured fungus
Lineage: Eukaryota; Fungi
Description: partial contains small subunit ribosomal RNA, internal transcribed spacer 1, and 5.8S ribosomal RNA
Rfam family: Eukaryotic small subunit ribosomal RNA (bases 1-73)
Source: RNAcentral